RNAcentral lists this ribosomal RNA (301 nucleotides) under uncultured bacterium. Its description in RNAcentral is "partial 16S ribosomal RNA". It matches the Rfam family "Bacterial small subunit ribosomal RNA", at positions 509 to 808 of the family's 1533-position model. The record is from RNAcentral.
CAGCAGCCACGGGAAUACGAAGGGGGCUAGCGUUCUUCGGAAUUACUGGGCGUAAAGCGCACGUAGGCGGACAUUUAAGUCAGGGGUGAAAUCCCGGGGCUCAACCCCGGAACUGCCUUUGAUACUGGGUGUCUAGAGUAUGGAAGAGGUGAGUGGAAUUACGAGUGUAGAGGUGAAAUUCGUAGAUAUUCGGAGGAACACCAGUGGCGAAGGCGGCUCACUGGUCCAUUACUGACGCUGAGGUGCGAAAGCGUGGGGAGCAAACAGGAUUAGAUACCCUGUAGUCCCUGUCUCUUAUACA